This 2615-nucleotide long non-coding RNA is filed under the name Phocoena sinus (vaquita). RNAcentral's name for it is "lncRNA (ENSPSNG00000016512.1)". Lineage: Eukaryota; Metazoa; Chordata; Mammalia; Artiodactyla; Phocoenidae. The record is from RNAcentral.
AGAUGAACCCCGUGAGAGGUGACAGAGAUGAGUUCUCGUGGGGGUCUGCACUGUGGGGGAAACGCAGGCACACGCCACCUUAUGGAGCCCACUCACUGCCCCAGGAGCAGGUCUCCCUGCUUCCACCGCACACAGGCCAGACUCAGCCCAGCACCCAACGGCUUGGGUUGGAGUCUUGGCCUUAACAGCUCCCAGGCUCCAUGAUCUCAGGCCCCUGAGAAGGGGCCCAUUCUGGCAACUAAAUGAUGGAAUGACGGCAAACGCUUGCACUGCCAGGCCAGCAGAAUCAGUGAGCACCGAGGGCACCUUUAGUGGCAGGGCUGUCCUUCCACACUAGAGGUCCAUGUGGCCAUGUCUAUAGCAGAGGAAGCUGGCUUCAAGAGGCCACGUCAUCUGCUGCAGGACCUCACAAGGGAGCUGGCAGGAGCACAAGGCAGGAGAGUGGAGGUGUCAGGCCACGGGGCUGGGGGCUGAAGACUGGGUCUGACAAGAGCGUGCCAUGUGCCAGCCCCUCUUUCAAGCACUUAAAGCCAUCAGGUCUUUUAAUCGUCAUAACCCAAGGAGGCAAGCACUGUGGUUACUCCCAUCAUGCAGGUGAGGGGCCCAAGUUAUCGAAAGAGUGCGUGGUUGGGCCGCAGUCACAGAUCUGAGCUGGGUGUCUGGCCCCGGCGUCCUGAUGUGUGCUCAUCACCCAGCAAUAAUACUUAGUCCAGCUCCUACCGUCGCUCAGGGGCCCCAGACUGCCGCCAGCACAACCGUGGCUUGGGCUUGUUAAGCCUCCAUCCUGGACCUCCGUCUGGGGACCUCCUACCCCAACACACUGCAUCCAUCAGUGUGGACGGUCCCUCGAGAUGUCCCACCCCCUCCACCUUUGUGUCACUGGGGAUCACAGUGCUGGAUGAGCCUCGGGCAUGGUAGGGGUUGGAGGGGGGAGAAAACACCUCUGACAGCUGGGAAGAUGAAGAGCUCUGACAGCUGGAGGUUCGCCUGUUUCCACACAGGUACCACCCCCAUCCCCUGUCUGCCUGCCGGGGAGCGCUGGUCCCACCUUGGCUCCCACACCUGGUGAUGGGCCGUGCCUUCCUCCAAGGCUCACACAGUGGCCGGGGUCAGGGUGGGAAGGAGAAGCUGGGAGGCUGAAAUGGAACAGAAAGACCCUCUGCACGGCGGUAGGAAGCAUGUGCCCUGCUGCUGACGGUGCAGGCGGGCGCAAGCGGAACCGGCUGGGAGGACUCCAGAUUCUGUAGCGUGUCAGCAUCAGCCGUGGUGGACUGACGCCCUGGCCCCCACCCCACCCCGAUAAACUCCCGUGCUCGGCCACACACAGGAGCACUUGUGUAGCCCUGUGCCUCGCAAGGCUGUUCGGACGUCCACCCUGGGAGAGGGGGGAAGAGAAGGUGCACGCACACCGUUCAGGAAAAGUUGUCCAAAACCCGGAAAUAGGGUGAGAAUUCAGCUCUGCAACCUUAUAAAAUCAUGCUAGAGUGUUAAAAAAACAACACCACCACCCCCUCCCCCCCGAGUUUCCUGUAACUCCUUGCAAAUGAAACUGUGUCGGGCUAACAGUUGUUUGGAGAGGGGUUGGUUCACCACUCCUGCCAAGUCAGAGGUUAACCCGAACACAGCUAGGUGGGUGUGGGGACCAGGUUUAUUCUGUCUGGCAGACGGAGCAGCCAGGUGUGGAGGUUGACCGUCUGGUGCGGCAUGAACCAGUUUUAAGCAGCAGCCCUGCUUCGGCAUCCCUCCCCACCAACCACACAGCCCUGGUUCAUCCAGUCCUAAUCCAACAAGCUCUGCAUCCUGCUGGUCCGUCGUAAAGAAGCCCAAUAAAUCAUCAACCCAGCACUGGUAUCUAUUUGUAUGAGAUUUUUUUAAAAUCAAUAAUUAUGACUUUACUGAAUACUACCUGGAGCUGGAGGCAAUGAGCUAGAAGUAUCCGCAGAAGCAUGACCUCUCCGAAACAUUCCGGGCGGUUACAGCAGCGAGAAUGAAAGAAAGAAAGAUAAUCAGAGCUAUUGCACCACCCCCACCCCACUCACAAAAUGGCACAACAGGUUCCAUAAACGUAGGAAAAAAACCAAGAUACAGUGGGUUCCCCGGGUAACCAGUGAGGAGAUGGAGGUCCACAGACCCGCAGAGAAUCUACCACAAUCCCACAGUCGGCCAGUGAGAUGCAGAGAUGCCUCCUCACGGCCCCUCUCUUGAGUCAGGGCAACGACUGAAGCUUGACUCCCCAAAUCCCUUCUUUUUGGGGCAUGAAGUUGUGAAAACAGGAGUGGGGAAGUGGGGGGCAUUGGGACGACACUGACCUCUGGGUUAUUUACGGGCAGGAGAGGGAGAGGGACCUUAAUCCUAAUCCAGACCCGCAGCCCCAACAAUAACACACCCAUGUCCUUUAGAGGGUUAAUUGUAAUCCCUUGAUUUUGGUCCAAGAUGAGGAGGAACUGAUUGAGGGAGAUGCAGGAAUAUUCAGCACAAUGGACAGAGGUGCUUGCUCGAAGCUGAGCCACGGGAAAGAAGGAUGCCUGUCUCCUGACGCCCCGGAAAUCUCUCUUUACCUCCUUUCUCAGGCAGGAAAGAGAAAUAAAGCUUUCAUGCAAAUGGUUUUCAAACUG